Alosa sapidissima (American shad) is the source of this 125-nucleotide long non-coding RNA. RefSeq lists it as uncharacterized. The transcript has 3 exons. The record is from RefSeq and is a predicted model, not a curated record. Lineage: Eukaryota; Metazoa; Chordata; Actinopteri; Clupeiformes; Clupeidae.
GGCUUUUGAUAAACAGUAGGCUAGGGGAGCGCGGGGCACAAAGUAACGCGGGGUUAAAUGUAACACGGACUUUUUCCCUAUUUGCAGGGGGUUGAUCGAGGCAUGCUAUUGUUCAGUUAAUCACA